GAAAUGCGAUACGUAGUGUGAAUUGCAGAAUUCCGUGAACCAUCGAAUCUUUGAACGCAAAUUGCGCUCGAGGCUUCGGCCAAGAGCAUGUCUGCCUCAGCGUCGGCU
This 108-nucleotide ribosomal RNA is filed under the name Trebouxia simplex. RNAcentral's name for it is "partial 5.8S ribosomal RNA". It matches the Rfam family "5.8S ribosomal RNA", at positions 50 to 154 of the family's 154-position model. From Rfam's summary of the family: 5.8S ribosomal RNA (5.8S rRNA) is a component of the large subunit of the eukaryotic ribosome. It is transcribed by RNA polymerase I as part of the 45S precursor that also contains 18S and 28S rRNA. Lineage: Eukaryota; Viridiplantae; Chlorophyta; Trebouxiophyceae; Trebouxiales; Trebouxiaceae. The record is from RNAcentral.